Molecule: ribosomal RNA, 1124 nt
Filed under: Chrysis leptomandibularis
Lineage: Eukaryota; Metazoa; Arthropoda; Insecta; Hymenoptera; Chrysididae
Description: partial 16S ribosomal RNA
Source: RNAcentral
AUUUAAAAUUGAUUUAAUUUUUUUAGUUAAAUUUAAAAUUUAAAUAAAGAUAUAGAAAUUAAAAUUUUUUAGUAUUAAUUGGAAAAAAAAAUUAUUAUUUUUUAAUUGUAAGAGUAUUUUGAAAUUAAAAAAAGAAAAUUUCAUUUAUUGUACCUUUUGUAUCAGGGUUUAUUAAAAUUAAAUAUUAAAAUUAAUAUAUCUCGAAUUAAAAAGAGCUAAUUUAAUAUUAUAGUUAAUGUAAAAUAAUUAUUAUAAAUUUUAAAUUAGAAGUGAAAUGUUAAACGAUUUUUAAGAUAUCUAGUUUUUUAAUAUAAAAAUUUAAUUUUUUUAUAAAUUUAAUUAUUAAUAAUUUAAGAUUUUUAAUUGUUUUAUAAAGAAGAAUUUAUGGGUUUAUCUAUAAAUUUAAAUUAAAUGAUAAAUUUAAAGUUUAAAAUUUAGAAAUUAAAAUUUUUAAAAUUUAAAAGUUUUUAAUAAUUUAUUAUUUAAGGGUAAUUUGAUUUUUAAAGUUAUUAAUUUAUUAUUAAAAUAAAUUUGUAAAUUUUUUAUAAAUUAAAAUAAUGAUAAUAUUAGUAUAAAUAAAUUGUUAAAUUAAUUGAAUUAUUAAAUUAAUUUAAGGAAUUAAGCAAAUUUUAAAAUUCACUUGUUUAUCAAAAACAUGUUUUUUUGAAAUUAAUAAAAAAUUUUCUCUGCCCAAUGAUAAAUUAAAUGGCCGCGGUAUUUUGACUGUGCAAAGGUAGCAUAAUAAAUAGUUUUUUAAUUGAAGACUAGAAUGAAUGAGAGGAUGAAAUUUUAACUGUCUCAAUUUAAUUAUAAAAUUUUAUUUUAAGUUAAAAUUCUUAAAUAAAUUUAAGGGACGAGAAGACCCUAUAGAAUUUAAAAAUUAAAUUUAAUUUUAGAGUUAAUAUUGAAUUGAAAUUAUUUAAAAAUUUUUUUAUUGGGAUGAUAUUUAAAUUUAAAUAACUUAAAAUUAUUAAAUUCAAUGAUUAAUGAAUUUAAGAAUAAAUUUAAUAAAUAAAAGAUAAAAUUACCUUAGGGAUAACAGCGUAAUAAAUUUUUAAAGUUCAAAUUAAAAAAUUUGAUUGCGACCUCGAUGUUGAAUUAAAAUAAAAUUUAAGUGGAGAAGC